RNAcentral lists this ribosomal RNA (253 nucleotides) under uncultured bacterium. RNAcentral describes it as "partial 16S ribosomal RNA". It matches the Rfam family "Bacterial small subunit ribosomal RNA", at positions 524 to 776 of the family's 1533-position model. The record is from RNAcentral.
UACGUAGGUGGCAAGCGUUGUCCGGAAUCAUUGGGCGUAAAGGGCGCGUAGGCGGGUUUUUAAGUCAGAUGUGAAAUGUCCGGGCUCAACCCGGGAUGUGCAUCUGAUACUGGAAGUCUUGAGUGCUGGAGAGGGCAGUGGAAUUCCUAGUGUAGCGGUGAAAUGCGUAGAUAUUAGGAGGAACACCAGUGGCGAAGGCGACAUACUGGCUCAUUACUGACGCUGAGGUGCGAAAGCGUGGGGAGCAAACAGG